UUUUUAGCAUUUGGUCUGUUUGGUUAUAUGAUGUUAUAAAUAAUUGGAACAUGAUUGUCCCUUUCCUACUCAGACUUCUUAUAUGCUAAGUAAUAAACUCUCAUGACUGUCUAAUUUAGGUUGGUAUAGCUACUUUUACAUUUUUUGUUGUUUACUCUUCAAGGUGUAAUAAGACAAUUACUUCUGCAUGAUGAGAGAUAAAAUCUUAUAUUCUAUUGUGUGUUUUGGUAUUUGGGUAUUUUCUUUCAUCUCAAUGCAACUAAGUUAAACCUUAAUUUUAUUGCUUGUGGCUGGCUAUUCAUCUGCUGUUUUUCUUCUUCUUCUCUUUUGCAUUGUAAGUGUCUACAGCCAUAAUAGCAGUGAGCUAUAGGGCUAGCUAUCUUCAGCCCUGCCAUGGCCAAAGUUAUGUUCUGUGUGUCUACUUGUCAAUUUCAUUCUAUUUCCCUUUCUUCACUCCUUCCUCUCCAAUUUGCGCUCCAUUUAAUGAUUUUAAUAUCUAUGACAUGAAUCCUUUUUGCCUAACACAUCUGUUAAGGAUUAGUUGUAAAUAGAGUUCUAUUAGGAGUUAGAUUCCUAAUUAGUUUAUGAUUUGUAUUCCUAAAUAGCUAGGUAGCAUAGGAAUUCCUUAUAUAUAGACCUAUGUAAUCGAUUGAUGAGAUACAAGAAAUACAAUUACAAUAUAAUCUCUCAA
Molecule: non-coding RNA, 691 nt
Organism: Jatropha curcas
Lineage: Eukaryota; Viridiplantae; Streptophyta; Magnoliopsida; Malpighiales; Euphorbiaceae
Source: RefSeq, a predicted model, not a curated record